UCGGGAAUUUUGGGCAAUGGGCGAAAGCCUGACCCAGCAACGCCGCGUGAGGGAUGAAGUAUUUCGGUAUGUAAACCUCGAAAGAAUGGGAAGAAUAAGUGACGGUACCAUUUAUAAGCUCCGGCUAACUACGUGCCAGCAGCCGCGGUAAUACGUAGGGAGCAAGCGUUGUUCGGAUUUACUGGGCGUAAAGGGCGCGUAGGCGGCGCGGUAAGUCACUUGUGAAAUCUCUGAGCUUAACUCAGAACGGCCAAGUGAUACUGCUGUGCUAGAGUGCGGAAGAGGCAACCGGAAUUCUUGGUGUAGCGGUGAAAUGCGUAGAUAUCAAGAGGAACACCUGAGGCGAAGGCGGGUUGCUGGGCCGACACUGACGCUGAUGCGCGAAAGCCAGGGGAGCAAACG
RNAcentral lists this ribosomal RNA (402 nucleotides) under uncultured bacterium. RNAcentral's name for it is "bacterial SSU rRNA". It matches the Rfam family "Bacterial small subunit ribosomal RNA", at positions 355 to 774 of the family's 1533-position model. The record is from RNAcentral.